This 361-nucleotide ribosomal RNA is filed under the name uncultured bacterium. Its description in RNAcentral is "bacterial SSU rRNA". It matches the Rfam family "Bacterial small subunit ribosomal RNA", at positions 29 to 416 of the family's 1533-position model. The record is from RNAcentral.
AACGAACGCUGGCGGCAUGCCUAACACAUGCAAGUCGAACGAGACCUUCGGGUCUAGUGGCGCACGGGUGCGUAACGCGUGGGAAUCUGCCCCUUGGUUCGGAAUAACUUCGGGAAACUGAAGCUAAUACCGGAUAAUGACGUAAGUCCAAAGAUUUAUCGCCAAGGGAUGAGCCCGCGUAGGAUUAGCUAGUUGGUGGGGUAAAGGCUCACCAAGGCGACGAUCCGUUAGCUGGUCUGAGAGGAUGAUCAGCCACACUGGGACUGAGACACGGCCCAGACUCCUACGGGAGGCAGCAGUGGGGAAUAUUGCGCAAUGGGCGAAAGCCUGACGCAGCGACGCCGCGUGGGUGAUGAAGGCC